Molecule: ribosomal RNA, 1235 nt
Filed under: metagenome
Description: SSU rRNA
Rfam family: Eukaryotic small subunit ribosomal RNA
Source: RNAcentral
UAUGAGGUCUGGCAUUGGAAUGGGUACAAUUUAAAUCCUUUAACGUGGAUCUAUUGGAGGGCAAGUCUGGUGCCAGCAGCCGCGGUAAUUCCAGCUCCAAUAGCGUAUAUUAAAGUUGUUGCGGUUAAAAAGCUCGUAGUUGGAUCUGCGGUCAAGGGAAGUGGUCCUCCGACGGAUGGUUACUGCUUUUCCUGACCUAACUUCUUCGGUUUUCCCUUGAUGCUCUUUACCGAGUGUUUUGGGUGACCGAAACGUUUACUUUGAAAAAAUUAGAGUGCUCAAAGCAGUCGUACAGACUGAAUAGUGGUGCAUGGAAUAAUAAAAGAGGAUCUCGGUUCUAUUUUGUUGGUAUUGGAUUGAGAUAAUGAUCGACGGGGAUAGACGGGGGCAUUCGUAUUGCGACGUUAGAGGUGAAAUUCUUGGAUCGUCGCCAGACGAACAACUGCGAAGGCAUUUGCCAAGAAUAUGCUCUUCAAUCAAGAACGAAAGCGAGAGGCGCGAACGCGAUCAGAUACCGCGGUAGUUCUCGCCGUAAACGAUGCCAACUAGCGAUCCGCCGGAGUUAAAUGAUGACUCGGCGGGCAGCUUCCGGGAAACCAAAGUUUUUGGGUUCCGGGGGAAGUAUGGUUGCAAAGCUGAAACUUAAAGGAAUUGACGGAAGGGCACCACCAGGAGUGGAGCCUGCGGCUUAAUUUGACCCAACACGGGGAAACUCACCCGGCCCGGACACCGUAAGGAUUGACAGAUUGAGAGCUCUUUCUUGAUUCGGUGGGUGGUGGUGCAUGGCCGUUCUUAGUUGGUGGAGCGAUUUGUCUGGUUAAUUCCGAUAACGAACGAGACUCUAGCCUGCUAAAUAGACAGUGAAUCGUUAGUUCAUUGUACUUCUUAGAGGGACAAGCGGCAUCUAGCUGCACGAGAUUGAGCAAUAACAGGUCUGUGAUGCCCUUAGAUGUUCGGGGCUGCACGCGCGCUACACUGAAGGAAUCAACAUGCAUUCCAACCUUACCCGAAAGGGUUUGGUAACCCGUUGAAACUCCUUCGUGAUUGGGAUAGGGACUUGCAAUUAUGGCCCUUGAACGAGGAAUUCCCAGUAAGUGCGGGUCAUCAGCUCGCGUUGAUUACGUCCCUGCCCUUUGUACACACCGCCCGUCGCUACUACCGAUUGGAUGGUAAAGUGAGUCGUAUGGACGCAUGUCGAGACAGCCUCACGGCUGCCUCGGUCUUUGCGAAAAUUC